CAACCUGCCUAUAACUAGGGAAUAACCUUGCGAAAGUAAGACUAAUACCCUAUGAUUUCCUUUGAUGGCAUCAGAUUAGGAAUAAAGAUUUAUCGGUUAUAGAUGGGGAUGCGUCUGAUUAGCUUGUUGGCGGGGUAACGGCCCACCAAGGCAACGAUCAGUAGGGGUUCUGAGAGGAAGGUCCCCCACAUUGGAACUGAGACACGGUCCAAACUCCUACGGGAGGCAGCAGUGAGGAAUAUUGGUCAAUGGGCGGAAGCCUGAACCAGCCAAGUAGCGUGCAGGAUGACGGCCCUAUGGGUUGUAAACUGCUUUUAUACAGGAAUAAAGUUAGCCACGUGUGGUUAUUUGUAGGUACUGUAUGAAUAAGGACCGGCUAAUUCCGUGCCAGCAGCCGCGGUAAUACGGAAGGUCCAGGCGUUAUCCGGAUUUAUUGGGUUUAAAGGGAGCGUAGGCCGUCUGUUAAGCGUGUUGUGAAAUGUAGAUGCUCAACAUCUGAAUUGCAGCGCGAACUGGCAGACUUGAGUGUGCGCAACGUAGACGGAAUUCGUGGUGUAGCGGUGAAAUGCUUAGAUAUCACGAAGAACUCCNAUUG
RNAcentral lists this ribosomal RNA (595 nucleotides) under uncultured Bacteroidota bacterium. RNAcentral's name for it is "bacterial SSU rRNA". It matches the Rfam family "Bacterial small subunit ribosomal RNA", at positions 122 to 715 of the family's 1533-position model. Lineage: Bacteria; Pseudomonadati; Bacteroidota. The record is from RNAcentral.